This 188-nucleotide ribosomal RNA is filed under the name Exiguobacterium indicum. RNAcentral describes it as "partial 16S rRNA. Bacterial SSU". It matches the Rfam family "Bacterial small subunit ribosomal RNA", at positions 1 to 169 of the family's 1533-position model. The record is from RNAcentral. Lineage: Bacteria; Bacillati; Bacillota; Bacilli; Caryophanales.
ACUUUAUGGAGAGUUUGAUCCUGGCUCAGGACGAACGCUGGCGGCGUGCCUAAUACAUGCAAGUCGAGCGCAGGAAACUGACGGAACUCUUCGGAGGGAAGGCAGUGGAAUGAGCGGCGGACGGGUGAGUAACACGUAAGGAACCUGCCUCAAGGAUUGGGAUAACUCCGAGAAAUCGGAGCUAAUAC